Molecule: non-coding RNA, 74 nt
Organism: Pangasius djambal
Lineage: Eukaryota; Metazoa; Chordata; Actinopteri; Siluriformes; Pangasiidae
Source: the annotation of a GenBank genome assembly
GGCAGUGGUGGCUCAGUGGUUAAGGCUCUGGGCUACUGAUCUGAAGGUUAGGGGUUCAAGCCCCAUCGCUGCCA